AAAGGAAUUGACGGGGGCCCGCACAAGCGGUGGAGCAUGUGCUUUAAUUCGAUGCAACGCGAAGAACCUUACCUGGACUUGACAUGGGAGUGAAAGUUUUUAGAGAUAGAAACCUUUCCGCAAGGAACACUCCACACAGGUGCUGCAUGGUUGUCGUCAGCUCGUGUCGUGAGAUGUUGGGUUAAGUCCCGCAACGAGCGCAACCCUCGCCCUUAGUUGCCAUCAGGUCAUGCUGGGAACUCUAAGGGGACCGCCUGGUUUAACCAGGAGGAAGGUGGGGAUGACGUCAAAUCCUCAUGGCCCUUACGUCCAGGGCUAGACACGUGCUACAAUGGCCGGUACAACGGGAAGCUAGACAGUGAUGUUGUGCCAAUCCCUUAAAACCGGUCUCAGUUCGGAUUGAAGUCUGCAAUUCGACUUCAUGAAGCUGGAAUCGCUAGUAAUCGCGGAUCAGAAUGCCGCGGUGAAUACGUUCCCGGGCCUUGUACACACCGCCCGU
This 499-nucleotide ribosomal RNA is filed under the name uncultured bacterium. RNAcentral's name for it is "bacterial SSU rRNA". It matches the Rfam family "Bacterial small subunit ribosomal RNA", at positions 903 to 1397 of the family's 1533-position model. The record is from RNAcentral.